This 379-nucleotide ribosomal RNA is filed under the name uncultured bacterium. RNAcentral describes it as "bacterial SSU rRNA". It matches the Rfam family "Bacterial small subunit ribosomal RNA", at positions 28 to 407 of the family's 1533-position model. The record is from RNAcentral.
GACGAACGCUGGCGGCGUGCUUAACACAUGCAAGUCGAGCGGUAAGGCUCUUUCGGGGGGUACACGAGCGGCGAACGGGUGAGUAACACGUGGGUGACCUGCCCUUAGCUCUGGGAUAAGCCUGGGAAACUGGGUCUAAUACCGGAUAUGACUCCAUGACGCAUGUUGUGGGGUGGAAAGCCUUGUGCGGCUAGGGAUGGGCCCGCGGCCUAUCAGCUUGUUGGUGGGGUGAUGGCCUACCAAGGCGACGACGGGUAGCCGGCCUGAGAGGGCGACCGGCCACACUGGGACUGAGGCACGGCCCAGACUCCUACGGGAGGCAGCAGUGGGGAAUCUUGCGCAAUGGGCGAAAGCCUGACGCAGCGACGCCGCGUGGGGA